GACGAACGCUGGCGGCGUGCCUAAUACAUGCAAGUAGAACGCUGAAGGAGGAGCUUGCUUCUCUGGAUGAGUUGCGAACGGGUGAGUAACGCGUAGGUAACCUGCCUGGUAGCGGGGGAUAACUAUUGGAAACGAUAGCUAAUACCGCAUAAGAGUAGAUGUUGCAUGACAUUUGCUUAAAAGGUGCAAUUGCAUCACUACCAGAUGGACCUGCGUUGUAUUAGCUAGUUGGUGGGGUAACGGCUCACCAAGGCGACGAUACAUAGCCGACCUGAGAGGGUGAUCGGCCACACUGGGACUGAGACACGGCCCAGACUCCUACGGGAGGCAGCAGUAGGGAAUCUUCGGCAAUGGACGGAAGUCUGACCGAGCAACGCCGCGUGAGUGAAGAAGGUUUUCGGAUCGUAAAGCUCUGUUGUAAGAGAAGAACGAGUGUGAGAGUGGAAAGUUCACACUGUGACGGUAUCUUACCAGAAAGGGACGGUUAACUACGUG
RNAcentral lists this ribosomal RNA (495 nucleotides) under uncultured bacterium. RNAcentral's name for it is "partial 16S ribosomal RNA". It matches the Rfam family "Bacterial small subunit ribosomal RNA", at positions 28 to 507 of the family's 1533-position model. The record is from RNAcentral.